GUGGGGCUGAGAGAAGGAAAGGACCAGUUGGAGAGUGAAGAAUUUAUCAAAGUGUGGAAACCCGAAGGAUCGAGUAAAGUCGGUGGUGUUGGCGGUUUAAUACAGGAUCGACCUUAUUGGAUCUUCAUUCAGGAAAUAGUAACCUGCAUCCGAGAUAAACCCUGCCUUGAAGAGCAGAAAGGGUUGGGACAGUGUUAUUCGCCAAGGAAAAGAGCGGGCAGCGGAGUCCGUGGGAGCAGAGUCCUGGGCUUUGGCUAAGUGGGCUUCGGCGUAAGGGGACUUCGGUAAGCCUGUGUGAUUGCUCGCUGAGGGGAAGAAGGUAAGGUCGCUUUUUAGACUUAUUCUAUUAAUCCAGUUCAGGUAUGGGGGAGACAGUCAGAGCAGUGGUGUGCUCCGUAUGCAGUAUGUGGGAAGUCAGGGUCAACACAAUUG
This is a long non-coding RNA of Hypanus sabinus (Atlantic stingray), 432 nucleotides long. RefSeq lists it as uncharacterized. NCBI's taxonomy places the organism in Eukaryota, Metazoa, Chordata, Chondrichthyes, Myliobatiformes, Dasyatidae. The transcript has 3 exons. The record is from RefSeq and is a predicted model, not a curated record.